UACGAAGGGGGCUAGCGUUGCUCGGAAUCACUGGGCGUAAAGCGCACGUAGGCGGAUUGUUAAGUCAGGGGUGAAAUCCUGGAGCUCAACUCCAGAACUGCCUUUGAUACUGGCAAUCUCGAGUCCGGGAGAGGUGAGUGGAACUGCGAGUGUAGAGGUGAAAUUCGUAGAUAUUCGCAAGAACACCAGUGGCGAAGGCGGCUCACUGGCCCGGUACUGACGCUGAGGCACGAAAGCGUGGGGAGCAAACGGG
Molecule: ribosomal RNA, 253 nt
Filed under: uncultured bacterium
Lineage: Bacteria
Description: partial 16S ribosomal RNA
Rfam family: Bacterial small subunit ribosomal RNA
Source: RNAcentral